RNAcentral lists this ribosomal RNA (507 nucleotides) under uncultured Actinomyces sp. RNAcentral's name for it is "partial 16S ribosomal RNA". The record is from RNAcentral. Lineage: Bacteria; Bacillati; Actinomycetota; Actinomycetes; Actinomycetales; Actinomycetaceae.
CACGUAGUUAGCCGGCGCUUCUUAUCCAGCUACCGUCAACCCACCCACAAGGGACAGGCCUGCUUCACUGGCGAAAGAGGUUUACAACCCGAAGGCCUCCAUCCCUCACGCGGCGUCGCUGCAUCAGGCUUGCGCCCAUUGUGCAAUAUUCCCCACUGCUGCCUCCCGUAGGAGUCUGGGCCGUGUCUCAGUCCCAGUGUGACCGUCCACCCUCUCAGGCCGGCUACCCGUCACCGCCUUGGUAGGCCAUCACCCCACCAACAAGCUGAUAGGCCGCGAGCCCAUCCCCCACCGAAACAAUAUCUUUCCCACACCCACCAUGCAGCAGGCGCAGAAUAUCCCGUAUUAGCCCACACUUUCAUGCGGUUAUCCAGAAGAAGGGGCAGGUUACUCACGUGUUACUCACCCGUUCGCCACUCAUCCAGAACCAGCAAAAACCGGUCCCUUCACCGUUCGACUUGCAUGUGUUAAGCACGCCGCCAGCGUUCGUCCUCGAGCCAGGAUACC